Long non-coding RNA from Sorghum bicolor (sorghum), 2410 nucleotides. RefSeq lists it as uncharacterized. The record is from RefSeq and is a predicted model, not a curated record. The transcript is spliced from 8 exons. Lineage: Eukaryota; Viridiplantae; Streptophyta; Magnoliopsida; Poales; Poaceae.
GCUGGGCGACCCUCAUCCCCUCCCCAAUCCCCUCUCCCUUUCCUCUCGCGGGCGCCGUCCACACGCCCCAAUCCCCUCCACCAGAGCACCCCAAUCCCUCCGUCUGCGGGAGCGUUGUCCGCCGCGAGCACGCCGUCCUCGAGCGCGCAGUCCUCGUCAAUGUCGUCCACGAUAGUGCCGUCCGCGCGAGCUCCGUCGAGCGCUGUCCUCGAGCGCCGUCUGCGGUCGCUACCGGCCACGCGAGCCCCGUCCUCGUGCGCCCCCUGCCCUAGGCUGACGGGAUCUGUUGGUCACCGUGCCAAACCCUAGACCGAGAUCUGUGGUGUUCUCCAGGAAAUAGCAGGCGGUGGAGGAGCUGCUUCAGUGGGUGGAGGAGCUAGAGCAGGCGGAGGCAUGGUUGCUUGGCGAGAAGAAGGCCGCGAAGAACACGUAUGCUUCUCAUGUGAGGUACCAUGGCGGCAGCCGCUCAAUCUCGAACUCACGCAAUAGCUGGUGUAGCUAUUUUUGUGCAUUUUUUGUUCUUCGCAAUUGGCUAUGCUUUGGUGCUUGGACUUGUGUGAGACAUCCUAGGUUGUUCCACUAACAAAUCCCUACUUGACCAAUGUAUUGGGUUGUUUUCUUUAGCAUUUGCAGAGUAAAUGCAUUGAGUUUAAUGUGCAAAUAUAAUUAACUGUAAACUUUGUAUGGUGCCAUUCCGUGCUGCAUAUUUUCACUUCCAUCAGUGUUCCGCUAGAAAUUAGGCCUUCUUAUGGUUUUAGAUGUGUAGCCUGUCAUAUGAUAUAUAUUUUCAUGCUGGUUCCAUCUAUCAAAUAUGUUUUGCAAAAAUCAAAAUAGGUGGACUGCUAGCACAUUUAACGGACUAUAUUUGUUGCUUUUGAGAUAACGAUGUGCACUCUGACACGGCGAAAGAAGGCAACAGAAUAUUGGCACUGAGUUGGUGGCCACAAAGACGGUGAUGUUGCGACUACGGAUGGCGCCGUCGAUCUGAUCCGAGAAGCCCCUGACGACCUCAACAUGACCGAGCCCUGCAAAACAGCUUUGUUGAGCCGAGGGUGCGUGCUGGGACGCGACAUAGAUGUUGAAAUGGAACAGAGUGCACCAAUCACUAUCUUCUCAAGUUCACAUAGACACAGCCCAUGUUGAAGAUUUUUGGUUUUCAGAAGGGGAAGAAGUUAGUUGAGACCAAGGUGGACCACGGCUCCCUGUCCAACUUAAUCUCCAAUCGAUGUGUCUGAUGAAAAAGGUGACGCAAAGGCGCAAAGCUUUACAUAAAUUCAGAAUUGUCUUCAUUGCAAGGUACCUUCAGGCUUGCAACAUCAAAGAUCCAAUACAGAACAUCGAGUGGACUUCCCCACAAGCAGGAAGGUGGAGGCGGCCAUGGUUACACAAUGUUGCAUACUGAGUCAAAAAGGCUGAAAAAUAAAGAUGACGGAGAGGAGAACGACAAACUGUUACGGCAACCACACGGCCACCAACGAGCGAUCAGACAUAUCCCUGGAGCAAUGGGUCCAAGGCGACGGGAACCUGGUGGUUAGACUCCAGAUUAUGGUUCUGAAAUUGAUGGAAUGGACAGUGACAAUGAGUUUGGGCAAGAUGAUGAUGACUUAUUUGAGGACAAAGUUGACUCUGAUGUGGAGGACAGCAUGGUGCAAUAUAAAGGCAAAAAAUGUGAAUGUGGAAGAGGUGGAGAUGGACAAGGACUUUGAUAUGUGUGAUCCUACAAAAGAUACUGAAAACCUGGUGGACAUUAUAAUGCAACAAGUAAGCUAACUUUUCAAAGCCAACUUUGUACUUGAAAUAAGAACACAAUGUUUUACUUUGUUUACUGAUGUAUUUGGGAAAUGGAGCACCAAGCUUAUGUUCAGGAGAUGCCAUUACCAGAUGAAUCUGUAUUUGUUGCUGCCCAUAGAGAGGACAUACCACCUCCCACAAUGCAUACAACUGCAACUAGAGUUGGAAGGGCAACAACUAGAGGCAGCAGAGUGAGAAAAGGUGGUAGAGGGCAUGGUUGAGAGAACCAGGACAUCAGGCUUUCCUUCCAAUGUAGGGAGACGGAAGGCAAGGUCAAGAGGAAGAGGUGGCAGAGGAUGUGCAAGAUCAAGGGGACGAGGUGGCAGAGUACAUGAGGACCACAUUGAUCUCAAUUUAGUUCCUGAUGAGAUUAGUCUAAGUGACUAACAUAGACUGCACCAGAGGCUAGCCAACAACAUUACAUUUAGCUAAAUAUUUAAGCUAUGCACAUUUUUGUAUAGCUUCUAUUUUUCCCACAAUUGUGUUCACAGGCAGCUCUGGAAACUCACAGAUUCAACCAGGAAGAUAAUUUCAUUGCUUUCAUAACAUAGUAUAUUACAUAGGCAAUGUCGUACUACUGAACGUGUAGCCAAUAAAAUCAGUGUCAGUUCAUUGAUCA